RNAcentral lists this ribosomal RNA (254 nucleotides) under uncultured bacterium. Its description in RNAcentral is "partial 16S ribosomal RNA". It matches the Rfam family "Bacterial small subunit ribosomal RNA", at positions 524 to 776 of the family's 1533-position model. The record is from RNAcentral.
UACGUAGGCAGCGAGCGUUGUUCGGAGUUACUGGGCGUAAAGGGUGUGUAGGCGGUUGUUUAAGUUUGGUGUGAAAUCUCCCGGCUCAACUGGGAGGGUGCGCCGAAUACUGAAUGACUUGGAGUGCGGGAGAGGUGAGUGGAAUUCCUGGUGUAGCGGUGAAAUGCGUAGAUAUCGGGAGGAACACCGGUGGUGUAGACGGCUCACUGGACCGUAACUGACGCUGAGACACGAAAGCGUGGGUAGCAAACAGG